UCUAACCUUAAACUUUGAUUAUUCGCCAGAGUACUACGAGCUACAGCUUAAAACUCAAAGGACUUGGCGGUGCUCUAUAUCCCCCUAGAGGAGCCUGUUCUAUAAUCGAUACUCCACGAUAAACCUCACCAUCAUUUGCUAAAACAGCCUAUAUACCACCGUCUAGCUUACCCUCUAAAGGAAAAACAGUGAGCAAAAUAAUAAACACUAGAAAGACAGGUCAAGGUGUAGCCUAUAUGAUGGGAAGAAAUGGGCUACAUUUUUUUACCAAAAAACACAAAAGAAAGAAUGAAAAAUUUUCUGAAGGCGGAUUUAGUAGUAAAAAGAAAUUAUUAUGUUCUCUUUAAAUAGGCAAUAGAGCGCGCAC
This 367-nucleotide ribosomal RNA is filed under the name Necturus maculosus (mudpuppy). Its description in RNAcentral is "partial 12S ribosomal RNA". It matches the Rfam family "Bacterial small subunit ribosomal RNA", at positions 795 to 1386 of the family's 1533-position model. The record is from RNAcentral. Lineage: Eukaryota; Metazoa; Chordata; Amphibia; Caudata; Proteidae.